CCUACGGGGGGCAGCAGUGAGGAAUAUUGGUCAAUGGGCGCAAGCCUGAACCAGCCAUCCCGCGUGCAGGAAGACGGCCCUAUGGGUUGUAAACUGCUUUUCCAGGGAGAGAAACUUACGCACGUGUUGCGUGACUGACGGUACCCUGGGAAUAAGCAUCGGCUAACUCCGUGCCAGCAGCCGCGGUAAUACGGAGGAUGCAAGCGUUAUCCGGAUUCAUUGGGUUUAAAGGGUGCGUAGGCGGGCUAUUAAGUCAGUGGUGAAAUCCUGCAGCUUAACUGCAGAACUGCCGUUGAUACUGAUAGUCUUGAGUUUGGUUAAGGUAGGCGGAAUGUGUAAUGUAGCGGUGAAAUGCUUAGAUAUUACACAGAACACCAAUUGCGUAGGCAGCUUACUGAGCCGACACUGACGCUGAGGCACGAAAGCGUGGGGAUCAAACAGGAUUAGAUACCCUAGUAGUC
Molecule: ribosomal RNA, 461 nt
Filed under: uncultured Bacteroidota bacterium
Lineage: Bacteria; Pseudomonadati; Bacteroidota
Description: bacterial SSU rRNA
Rfam family: Bacterial small subunit ribosomal RNA
Source: RNAcentral